AAGGACGCUUCAUGCAUACCGCUACCGCUUGAUGGCAGGCCAACGCCAACAGCGGCACUUUCAUGUCAAAGG
Non-coding RNA from Aspergillus fumigatus Af293, 72 nucleotides. The record is from the annotation of a RefSeq genome assembly. NCBI's taxonomy places the organism in Eukaryota, Fungi, Ascomycota, Eurotiomycetes, Eurotiales, Aspergillaceae.